RNAcentral lists this unclassified non-coding RNA (220 nucleotides) under Hevea brasiliensis (rubber tree). The record is from RNAcentral. Lineage: Eukaryota; Viridiplantae; Streptophyta; Magnoliopsida; Malpighiales; Euphorbiaceae.
CAUUGAGAGUCUGGUUGUUGGUGGAUGGCUGCGGCACAUGCUGCUGCUGGGCUGGGGAACUUCCAAAGUGAUGCAGGGCUGGCUGAUGGGAGGAGAAUUGUGGAGUCAAACCUCUAUUGAAGGGGUUUCCAUUGACGGCUGGAAUUUGGCCAGUUGCUAUCUUAAGCCGCUGCACCUCUUCCCUCAACGCAUCAUUCAGAGCAUCUCUAAGUUGUGCUUG